AAUGAACGCUGGCGGCGCGCCUAAUACAUGCAAGUCGAGCGAGAAGACGUAGCAAUACGUUUGUAAAGCGGCGAACGGGUGAGGAAUACAUGGGUAACCUACCCUCGAGUGGGGAAUAACUAGCCGAAAGGUUAGCUAAUACCGCGUACGCUCCUUGGACUUCGGUUCAGGGAGGAAAGCGAUACCGUGGGUAUCGCGCUCUUGGUUGGGCUCAUGUCCUAUCAGCUUGUUGGUGAGGAACGGCUCACCAAGGCUUCGACGGGUAGCUGGUCUGAGAGGACGAUCAGCCACACUGGCACUGCGACACGGGCCAGACUCCUACGGGAGGCAGCAGUAAGGAAUAUUGCGCAAUGGGCGAAAGCCUGACGCAGCGACGCCGCGUGGGGGGAUGAAGGUC
This 397-nucleotide ribosomal RNA is filed under the name uncultured bacterium. Its description in RNAcentral is "bacterial SSU rRNA". It matches the Rfam family "Bacterial small subunit ribosomal RNA", at positions 29 to 416 of the family's 1533-position model. The record is from RNAcentral.